GGAACGUUCACUGCUUAUGGAAUAUUUAUCUGCACUUUGCAAAUCCUCUUCGCAAAUCCUCUUCAGCUUUUAGAGAUUUUUAUCACCUAACUUUCUAUUGAUAGAAACUGACUCUUUUCACUGAAAAAAUUUCCUUUUCAGAAAACUUUUUAGAAAUGGGUUUACAGUUGUUUCGACACAGGAUCAGAUUCUUGAAGCUGAGCGAAUGAUACUAAUUCAUCUUCUUCCUGCCUGCAACUCUUCUCACCAAAGAAUUGGCUAAAACGUAGUGGACAGGAAACACCAGAACCAGGAUAUUUUUCAUAAGCUUAACUUAUAAUGUAUCUCAUCUAUAUCUGUUUGGUGUACAACACAUAUCGUCUGGAACAUACUUUUGGGUUCCUCUGCAUUAAAACAGCUUCGUUAUUAUUUCUCCCAUGCCUGAUUUAUAAAAUAUAUGCUCAUUUCAAGACUUAAUUGAAUAUAGAUAUAAAUAAUUAAGAAAGUAAAAAAAAAAAUCCCACAUAACUAGGAUGUCUAUACUAUUUAUUAUCCAAACUGGAACCUUUUUAGCAUGAAAAGUGGUGUUAAUAAUUACUUUGGAACAAUAGACUGUCCCAGUGGAUCAAUACGUGUGGUCACCCUAGUAACUUUCCAGUAAUUAUUCUGGGAAUACACACAUUAUGGAGUGCGUACCUAUUUAGAAAAAUUGGAUCAUGUCAUGUGUAGUUUUGCAGGCUUUUCUUUUUUUAACAUAAAAUGGAUAUAUUUAUUUCUAUGUCAAUAAAUACAGAGCCACAUAAUCAUUUCAACGGCCACAGUGACUUGCACUUAGUAAAUGCUAUAAUAAUGUUGGUUUUUCUUGUCAGUCAUCAAAAUUACUUUCUCCUUUUGAUGGAUAAAUGAGAAUUUAUUUUUGAAAAUCCUUAUUUAAGGUAUUACUCCUUUUUUUGCUAUUAUAAGCAAUGCCAUGAUAAAUAUUUUCACACCUAUAAGUUUAUGCCCUUCCUUACUUCAGAUACAUUCCUAGAAGAGGAAUUUUGGAAUUAAAAGUAUACAAUUUUACUUUUGGUGACACGUUCACAUGUUAUUUUCUUAAAAGUAUCAACAUACAAGCCCAUUAGAAAUGUGUGAGAGUGCCGAUUUUUGUAUAACCUUGAUAACAAUGAAUUUUAUCAAGCUUUUUGAUCUUGGCAAUUUAAUAAGUAGAAAUCGUUGUUAAAGUCAGAGUUCUUCAGAGAAACAGAACCAAUAGGAUAUAUCCAGAGAGGAAGAUAGAAAGAGAUUUGUUAUGAGGGAUUGGCUUACAUGAUCAUCGAGGCUGAGAAGUCCCAUGACCCGCCAUCUACAAGUAGGAGACCCAGGAAAACUGGUAGUUUAGCUCCUGUCUGAAUCUGAAGGCCCGAAAACCAGGAAUGCCAAUGCCCAAAGGCGGAAGAUGGAUAUCCCAGCUCAAGCAGAGGGCAAAUCUGCCUUUCCUCCUCCUUCUGG
Molecule: long non-coding RNA, 1470 nt
Filed under: Equus caballus (horse)
Lineage: Eukaryota; Metazoa; Chordata; Mammalia; Perissodactyla; Equidae
Description: lncRNA (ENSECAG00000052855.1)
Source: RNAcentral